UUUGGAAUAAACAAUGAAACCAAGUCGUAUUUAAUUAUUAUUGCAUAUUAUUUCUACCUUGAUUAUAGUUGCUUCAAACUAAUAAAUUAGUUUUCAACAACUAAAUUUUAGUUUGUUUCCAUCAAAAACCAGGUUGUUUAUUGUUGAUUUGCAUUAUUCAAAUCAAACAUGUGUUCUAGGUUGAUUCAACCAAAGCAAAUAUUUAAAUCAAGCUAAAUUUGUGUUUGCUGUAAAUAUAACCAAAAUAUUAGUUUGAAUCAAAUAGUUUGAAAGGAAACUAAUAACUAUUGUCGGAUUUUUUAAGCAAAAUCAUGCCGCUGUUCUCCGCUCCCGGGUUUGGAGUUUGUCCCAUUAUGGGUGCAUCUGCGAUACGAAUUACGAUUACUGCCGGGUCGUCGAAUAGAAAUUGCGACUUUCAAUACUAUUCAGCGGCAAGCAAUCCAGGAAAUCGAAUCAGCUAGAAUGCCGAUCGGGGUUUCGACUCAGAUUUCGAUGGGGAAUCGAAUAGGAGACGUUUGUAGCCGCGGUCAUUUAACCUUUUGUGAAGUUUUAAGUUUAUUCUACUGUCUACAGUUGGAUGAAAAAUGCCCAUAUAACCGAGGUGAAAAAAUCCUUACAGUAAUAAAAAAAUAAUACUUUGUGCUGAUCCGCAAGCAGGAAGAGCCGGGUUUAUACGGUUUGGAAUCAUUACGAGGGAACUGGAUCCACUGAAGCACAAUGGCAUUUUGUUAUGGGCUGAUAUAUAAUCAAAUGAACAAUAUGUGUUGUAGAACAUUUGUAUAAAUCUAUACAUAUCCAUUACUCCGUAGAAAUGUGCAUAUAAAUUGCAACCGUAUAAAUAAAA
Molecule: long non-coding RNA, 844 nt
Organism: Armigeres subalbatus
Lineage: Eukaryota; Metazoa; Arthropoda; Insecta; Diptera; Culicidae
Exons: 3
Source: RefSeq, a predicted model, not a curated record